CAACCUCUGACGAUAACCGUGAAUGUUG
Non-coding RNA from Flavobacterium cauense R2A-7, 28 nucleotides. NCBI's taxonomy places the organism in Bacteria, Pseudomonadati, Bacteroidota, Flavobacteriia, Flavobacteriales, Flavobacteriaceae. The record is from Rfam.